This 2137-nucleotide ribosomal RNA is filed under the name human gut metagenome. RNAcentral's name for it is "bacterial LSU rRNA". It matches the Rfam family "Bacterial large subunit ribosomal RNA", at positions 1 to 2002 of the family's 2925-position model. The record is from RNAcentral.
UGUUGCUUGCAAGGGCGUAUGGUGGAUGCCUUGGCAGACAGGACCGAUGAAGGACGUUUGAGGCUGCGAUAUGCCUCGGGGAGCCGCCAACAGGGCUUUGAUCCGAGGAUUUCCGAAUGGGGGAACCCACCGACCGUCAUGGGUCGGUACCGGCUUCGGCCGGGGGGUACGCAGGGAAGUGAAACAUCUCAGUACCUGCAGGAAAGGAUAUUCCGUGAGUAGUGGCGAGCGAAAGCGGAUGAUGGCCAAACCUUGCGCGUGUGAUACCCGUCGGGGGUUGCGCGCGGGGUGUUGCGGGAUCGCGUGCGCCGGCUCCGACGGGCCGGCCGGCAGUUGCAGAAAACCAUGUGUCAGGGGAACCGGGUUGAAUACCGGGCCGCAGAGGGUGAGGGCCCCGUACCUGAACGCGCAUGGUCUGCCGAUCGCGUCUCCCAAGUAGCACGGGUCCCGUGGAACCCCGUGCGAAUCCGCCCAGACCGUUGGGUAAGCCUGAAUAUUCCUGUCUGACCGAUAGCGAACGAGUACCGUGAGGGAAAGGUGAAAAGUACCCCGGGAGGGGAGUGAAACAGUCUCUGAAACCGUGCGCCUACAAUCCGUCGGAGCCCUUUUGUGGGGUGACGGCGUGCCUAUCGAAAAAUGAGUCUGCGAGUCAGUGGCAUGUGGCGAGCAUAACCCGUGUGGGGUAUGCGUAGCGAAGGCGAGUCUUAAAAGGCGUUUGAGUCGCGUGUCCUGGACCCGAAGCGGGAUGAUCUAGCCCUGAGCAGGUUGAAGCGCGGGUAAGACCGCGUGGAGGACCGAACCCACCUGGGUUGAAAACCGGGGGGAUGACUUGGGGCUAGGGGUGAAAGGCCAAUCAAAUUCCGUGAUAGCUGGUUCUCUCCGAAAUGCAUUUGGGUGCAGCGUCGGGUCAUUACGUCCCGGGGGUAGAGCUACUGGAUGCUUGCGGGCCCGUAUCGGGUACCAACAGCAACCAAACUCCGAAUACCGGUGACGCGUAUCCCGGCAGUGAGUCGGCGGGGGAUAAGCUUCGUCGUCGAAAGGGAAACAGCCCAGACCGUCGUCUAAGGUCCCGAAGCGUGUGCUAAGUGGGAAAGGAUGUGGAGUCGCAUAGACAGCCAGGAGGUUGGCUCAGAAGCAGCCACCCUUGAAAGAGUGCGUAACAGCUCACUGGUCUAGUGGUUCCGCGCCGACAAUGUAGCGGGGCUCAAGCACACCACCGAAGACGCGGCAGUAUUUUGUACUGGGUAGGAGAGCGUCCCAUGAGGGGCGAAGCGGCCGUGUGAACGCGCCGUGGACUUCAUGGGAGUGAGAAUGCAGACAUGAGUAGCGAGAGACGGGUGAAGAUCCCGUCCGCUGGAUGACCAAGGGUUCCAGGGCCACGUUCAUCGUCCCUGGGUGAGUCGGGUCCUAAGGCGAGGCCGACAGGCGUAGUCGAAUGGAUGAACGGGUCGAUAUUCCCGUACCGGCUUUCAGCCGCCAAAACCGAGGCUUGGAGUACUAACCUCCGGGUCCGGGCUUACUGCUCCUUCGGGGGCGGGAUGCCCUGGCCUGUUGGGACCGAUCCUUGUAGUAGGUCAGCGCAGGAGUGACGCAGAAGGGUAGCCGGCCGCGGAGGUGGUCUUCCGUGGUCAAGCACGCAGGGCGUGGGACAGGCAAAUCCGUCCCGCAUGGGUCCGAGGUGCGAUGAUGGGGGCCUUAUGGCCCGAUAUCCGGUGAUCCCGGCUGCCGAGAAAAGCUUCGGCGUCAGGCUCGAAGCCGCCCGUACCCCAAACCGACACUGGUGGUCAGGUAGAGAAUACCAAAGCGAUCGAGCGAAUCCUGGUCAAGGAACUCGGCAAAUCACUCCCGUUCCUUCGGUUUAAGGGAGACCCCCGAUGGUGAACCGCCUCGCGCGGGGAGCUUUUGGGGGUGGCACAGACCAGGGGGUAGCGACUGUUUACCAAAAACACAGGUGCAUGCGAAGGCGCAAGCCGCUGUAUAUGCACUGACGCCUGCCCGGUGCCGGAAGGUUAAGAGGAUCCGUCAGCCUUCGGGUGAAGCGGUGAAUUCAAGCCCCGGUAAACGGCGGUGGUAACUAUAACCAUCCUAAGGUAGCGAAAUUCCUUGUCGGGUAAGUUCCGACCUGCACGAAUGGCGU